Molecule: ribosomal RNA, 1406 nt
Filed under: uncultured bacterium
Lineage: Bacteria
Description: bacterial SSU rRNA
Rfam family: Bacterial small subunit ribosomal RNA
Source: RNAcentral
AGAGUUUGAUCAUGGCUCAGGAUGAACGCUGGCGGCGUGCUUAACACAUGCAAGUCGAACGAAGAAACCUUGAAUGAGAGCUUCGGCAGGAUUUCUUGGUAUCUUAGUGGCGCACGGGUGCGUAACGCGUAUCCAACCUUCCCGUUACUCUUGGAUAGCCUUCCGAAAGGGAGAUUAAUACAAGAUGGUAUUCAAAUUCCGCAUGUUAUUUGAAUUAAAGAUUUAUCGGUAACGGAUGGGGAUGCGUGACAUUAGAUAGUAGGCGGGGUAACGGCCCACCUAGUCUACGAUGUCUAGGGGUUCUGAGAGGAAGGUCCCCCACACUGGAACUGAGACACGGUCCAGACUCCUACGGGAGGCAGCAGUGAGGAAUAUUGGUCAAUGGUCGGAAGACUGAACCAGCCAAGUAGCGUGAAGGAUGAAGGUUCUAUGGAUUGUAAACUUCUUUUAUACGGGAAUAAAACCUCCCACGUGUGGGAGCUUGUAUGUACCGUAUGAAUAAGCAUCGGCUAACUCCGUGCCAGCAGCCGCGGUAAUACGGAGGAUGCGAGCGUUAUCCGGAUUUAUUGGGUUUAAAGGGAGCGUAGACGGGAGAUUAAGUCAGUUGUGAAAGGCUGCGGCUCAACCGCAGCACUGCAGUUGAUACUGGUUUCCUUGAGUGCGGUUGAGGUGUAUGGAAUUCGUGGUGUAGCGGUGAAAUGCUUAGAUAUCACGAAGAACUCCGAUUGCGAAGGCAGUACACUAAGCCGUAACUGACGUUGAGGCUCGAAAGUGUGGGUAUCAAACAGGAUUAGAUACCCUGGUAGUCCACACGGUAAACGAUGAAUACUCGCUGUUGGCGAUAUACAGUCAGCGGCCAAGCGAAAGCAUUAAGUAUUCCACCUGGGGAGUACGCCGGCAACGGUGAAACUCAAAGGAAUUGACGGGGGCCCGCACAAGCGGAGGAACAUGUGGUUUAAUUCGAUGAUACGCGAGGAACCUUACUCGGGCUUGAAUUGCAGAGGAAGGAUUUAGAGAUAAUGACGCCCUUCGGGGCCUCUGUGAAGGUGCUGCAUGGUUGUCGUCAGCUCGUGCCGUGAGGUGUCGGCUUAAGUGCCAUAACGAGCGCAACCCCUCUCCGUAGUUGCCAUCGGGUGAUGCCGGGCACUCUGCGGACACUGCCACCGUAAGGUGUGAGGAAGGUGGGGAUGACGUCAAAUCAGCACGGCCCUUACGUCCGGGGCUACACACGUGUUACAAUGGGGGGUACAGAGGGUCGCUACCACGCAAGUGGAUGCCAAUCCCCAAAACCUCUCUCAGUUCGGAUUGAAGUCUGCAACCCGACUUCAUGAAGCUGGAUUCGCUAGUAAUCGCGCAUCAGCCACGGCGCGGUGAAUACGUUCCCGGGCCUUGUACUCACCGCCCGU